CCAUUCAUUAGAGGGAAAAAUGCGGGAAUAAAGUGAAAGUGCGGUUAAACCGUCUCUCCCCUGCAGAGCUGGAGCUGCUCUGUUUCUCCUUUACACCAUAACGUAGAUGUUCCUCAGCGUCCACCCUGGGUCGCUCUCCUGAGGUCGCCAACAAAAUCUGCAGUAAACAGUCAACUCCAGCUGAGAUCCGAGAAGAAGAAGAUGGGUCGUCGCAGGCCAGACAGGUCCAACAUGGGUCAAGGUGAAGAUCCUCAAGGUCCAGAAGAGUCUGAAGAGCCUCAAAGUCCAAAAGACUCUGAAAAUCCUAAAGAUCCAGAAGAUUCUCAAGAUCCAGAAGAGGAACCUCAGACAACCACCAGGAGAAGAAGAUCUCUGAUUAUUCCUCCUAUUUUCUCCUCAGAACUCCCACCUGCUGCCAGUGUCGAGGAGAAUCAGGACACAACACCAUCAUUAAACACCAUCACUGACCCCAAAGAGGAGGCAAAGUCAAAUAAUGUUCUCAGUGUUUAAACACAGACAGACCAGAGAGGACGAGAACUUUAAAUAGAAAAAAAAAAUUUAAAAACAGCAUUAAUUGAUGAAAUAUUUUUUAAAAACUAAAUUCACUGAACUGGAAUCUUUCUGAGCGUCUGAAUAACUGUGGGAACUGAAACAACACAAUGGCAGCUUUAAUGAACACAGCAUGUGUUCUAUUUUUCUGUGUUUUUAUAUUUUUGUAUGAGUUUAUGUGCAGUUUUUGAUACUGAAUUUUUCAUAUAAAAUCAAUGCAUGCAAUAAAUCCA
Molecule: long non-coding RNA, 782 nt
Organism: Neoarius graeffei (lesser salmon catfish)
Lineage: Eukaryota; Metazoa; Chordata; Actinopteri; Siluriformes; Ariidae
Exons: 3
Source: RefSeq, a predicted model, not a curated record